GCAUUUGUGGUUCAAUUGUAGAAUUCUCACUUUCCAUGCGGGAGACCUGGGUUCCAUUUCCUACCAGUGCA
RNAcentral lists this transfer RNA (71 nucleotides) under Loxodonta africana (African savanna elephant). It matches the Rfam family "tRNA". Rfam says of the family: Transfer RNA (tRNA) molecules are approximately 80 nucleotides in length. Their secondary structure includes four short double-helical elements and three loops (D, anti-codon, and T loops). Lineage: Eukaryota; Metazoa; Chordata; Mammalia; Proboscidea; Elephantidae. The record is from Rfam by way of RNAcentral.